CACGUAGGGGGCAAGCGUUGUCCGGAUUUAUUGGGCGUAAAGAGCUCGUAGGUGGUUCGGUAAGUCGGGUGUUAAACCCCCAGGCUCAACCUGGGGACGCCACUCGAUACUGCUGUGACUAGAGUCCGGUAGGGGAGCGUGGAAUUCCUGGUGUAGCGGUGAAAUGCGCAGAUAUCAGGAGGAACACCAAUAGCGAAGGCAGCUCGCUGGGACGGUACUGACGCUAAGGCGCGAAAGCGUGGGGAGCGAACAGG
This 254-nucleotide ribosomal RNA is filed under the name uncultured bacterium. RNAcentral's name for it is "partial 16S ribosomal RNA". It matches the Rfam family "Bacterial small subunit ribosomal RNA", at positions 524 to 776 of the family's 1533-position model. The record is from RNAcentral.